UACAGAGGGUGCAAGCGUUAAUCGGAAUUACUGGGCGUAAAGCGUGCGUAGACGGUUAUGUAAGUCAGAUGUGAAAGCCCCGGGCUCAACCUGGGAAUGGCAUUUGAGACUGCAUAGCUAGGAUGCGGAAGAGGGAAGUGGAAUUUCCGGUGUAGCGGUGAAAUGCGUAGAUAUCGGAAGGAACAUCAGUGGCGAAAGCGACUUCCUGGUCCAGCAUCGACGUUCAGGCACGAAAGCGUGGGGAGCAAGCAGG
This 253-nucleotide ribosomal RNA is filed under the name uncultured bacterium. RNAcentral describes it as "partial 16S ribosomal RNA". It matches the Rfam family "Bacterial small subunit ribosomal RNA", at positions 524 to 776 of the family's 1533-position model. The record is from RNAcentral.